AUGGGGGAUCCCGAGGCGGCGGCGUACCAUAGCUGGCUGCAGAGUGAAGGGAUGGAGUUGUUCGUGAGAAGGCAGACGGAGGAGAGGCAUGCCCGAUUGGACGACUGGCCGUCGCCCGACGAGAGGGCCGUAUGCGCUCGUAGCUACCGCAACGGCUGGAACCAAAUGUGGGCAUGCCAACGAGGCACCUACGAGGACACCACGGCUAUCCCGGCCAUGCGUUAUACGGACGUCAAGCCACCAGCAUGGCGUCACGUUGAUCCGACAGGAACUCUGCAGAUCUUUUCCUUCAAAGUCGCGGCGAUAGCAGAGGAAUUGCAGUGGCCACUGGAUGUGUAUGGCUUGAUCGCGAUAAGAGAUCACCUAGACCGCAACCGCAAUAUCAUCUUUGCUCGCGCGAGGGAUAACUGCCAAACCAUCAGUUUGGAGAAUCCUUAUUUAACACUAACAGGCCCAACUCGAGCUGUUGUGUUAUCUGAUGUGUCGAAUUCUGUGCGCUUUGAGGUUGUGCUGAAAGUGAAGAGCGGCAUUUAUGAAUCCGAAGAUAAAGAUUUGAGCUUCUUAGCAGUAAAGUACAAAACAUCUGCAUGGAAUCAUUCAUGUGUGAUUAACCUUGUUGCCACUAGCAAACUUUCCAAACUAGAAUGGACAUUCGUUCGCCUUGCUAAAUCUGUGGAGGCUACAAUCAAUAUACAAGUUAUUCAUGGGUCAUGGCCAGAUGGUUGUCGAGGUAUAUUCAGUGCAAGUACCAAAAGUCUAGAUGGCAUGAAAGUUUUGCUGCUCUCUCUUGAAGAUGACAAGUUACCGGUUACUACUGAUGGCAUGGUCAAUCUCGCACGCCAUGUUGCUUGCGUUGAAAUAAAGGGAGAACUGAAAAUUUCUGUUGCAGCCGAAUAUUCUGGGAAACAGUUUACGACACACAAUGAAACGGUUUUCUCACCUAGGGAAGCCGGUAGAAGUUCUGGUAUUCUUAAGGUUCACUCAUGUGUGAUGAAAGUCAUUGUUGCAUGGUCACUUGUUUGCUCAUCUAGAUAG
RNAcentral lists this ribosomal RNA (1035 nucleotides) under Triticum aestivum (bread wheat). Its description in RNAcentral is "partial small subunit ribosomal RNA". The record is from RNAcentral. Lineage: Eukaryota; Viridiplantae; Streptophyta; Magnoliopsida; Poales; Poaceae.